AUUGAACGCUGGCGGCAGGCCUAACACAUGCAAGUCGAGCGGAUGAGGGGGGCUUGUUCUGGGUUCCGGCGGGGGAGGGGGGUGAAUUGCUUGGGAAUCUCCUUGGCGUUGGGGGUUAACGUCGGGAACGGGCGGCUACUACGCCAUCCGCCCUGCGGGGGAAGGUGGGGGUUCUUGGGACCUCACCUUAUCAGGUGAGCUUAGGUCGGUUUAGCUAGUUGGUGGGGUAAGGCCCUACCAAGCCGAGGAUCCGUACCUGGUCUGAGAGAAUGAUCGGUCACACUGGAACGUAGACACGGUCCAGACUCCUGCGGGAGGCAGCAGUGUGGAAUAUUGGGCAAUGGGCGAAAGCCUGAUCCAGCCAUGCCGCGUGUGUGGAGAAGGUCUUCGGAUUGUAAAGCACUUUAAGUUGGGAGGAAGGGCAGUAAGUUAAUACCUUGCUGUAUUGACGUUACCAACAGAAGAAGCACCGGCUAACUUCGUG
RNAcentral lists this ribosomal RNA (484 nucleotides) under uncultured bacterium. Its description in RNAcentral is "partial 16S ribosomal RNA". It matches the Rfam family "Bacterial small subunit ribosomal RNA", at positions 30 to 507 of the family's 1533-position model. The record is from RNAcentral.